Long non-coding RNA from Neomonachus schauinslandi (Hawaiian monk seal), 458 nucleotides. RefSeq lists it as uncharacterized. Lineage: Eukaryota; Metazoa; Chordata; Mammalia; Carnivora; Phocidae. The transcript is spliced from 3 exons. The record is from RefSeq and is a predicted model, not a curated record.
AGCAGGGAUGGGGGCGAGAAGGGUCUGGUCCGGGAUGGCAACCCUGGCCUUCUUCACGUGGCUCCUGCUCCUGGACUAGGCGGGCUUGCUGUCCCCUCUGUGCAGAUGGAGAAACUGAGUCCUGAAUGGGGGAAGGGACUUUGCCAAGGCCCCAUACCUCGUGGAGCACUUCCCAGCCUACCGGCUGCCUCUUGAUCUUUAACCGCUAGAGUCCUAUCCCUGCCCCCCAACAAAUAGAUAAGGAGCUCCCAGCAAGAAAAGGUGGGGACCCUGACAGAAUGUGGCCGUUUCUCCUUCCCGUCCGCCCUCUUGCCAAGCCCACAGCUUCUGUUCCUGGCUCCCCGCCGCCAAGAUGGUGACAGCUUUCCCAGGUCUGGUGGGAUGAGCAAAUUGGACAAAGUGUGGUUUCCUGGCCCUGGCCCGGCAUCUUCCCUCCACUAAUAAACCUGUGGCUAACC